UACGUAGGGUGCAAGCGUUGUCCGGAAUUAUUGGGCGUAAAGAGCUCGUAGGCGGCUUGUCGCGUCGGCUGUGAAAACCUGGGGCUCAACCCCGGGCCUGCAGCCGAUACGGGCAGACUAGAGUGCGGUAGGGGAGACUGGAAUUCCUGGUGUAGCGGUGAAAUGCGCAGAUAUCAGGAGGAACACCGGUGGCGAAGGCGGGUCUCUGGGCCGUAACUGACGCUGAGGAGCGAAAGCAUGGGGAGCGAACAGG
RNAcentral lists this ribosomal RNA (253 nucleotides) under uncultured bacterium. Its description in RNAcentral is "partial 16S ribosomal RNA". It matches the Rfam family "Bacterial small subunit ribosomal RNA", at positions 524 to 776 of the family's 1533-position model. The record is from RNAcentral.